CACUUUUUCUAGGACCUAUACUAGAGCAGCUCCCUGACUGUGCAAUACUGUGCUACAUGAGUGUACACUAAUGCUCCUGAAGCUUGGCCUGCCUGGACUGUAAUUGAGAGGUUUGGGAAGGCUGUCCUUGAAUUUUACUUGUGUGCCAGAUCAUGACUACAGCCCAGUACUAUGUGUUGGUGAGACUUCCCUGUGCAACCCAUGAGAUAUUCAGUGAAGCUCUCUCAGGUACAGCCAUGAUCAAGUCAAGAACCUGUUGGUAAAAAUCAGGGACCAAAUUAACAAAGGAUGUUGGGUGAUCAAGGUCUACUACAGGCUGCCUGACCAGGAGAGCCUAUGGGUGAAGCCUUCUUGCUUUGGCUACAGGAAGUGUUGUGCUUUCAGACUUUCAUCUUGAUGGGGAAAUUCAACCACUUGUCUGUUUGCUGGGAAAUCCAGUAGACUCCUGGAGUGUGUUGAGACCUCCUGAUCCAGCUAUUGAUAAAAUGACCAGAGAAGAAGUGUUCCUAGACCUAGUGUUCACCAAUUAAGAGGAGCUUGUUAAAGAGGUUAAGGUUGGAGGCAAUUUGAGAUGUAGUGACUGUGCCCUGGUAGAGUUUGUGAUCUUGAGGAAUAUGGGCCUGGCAAAAAAUGAAAUCAGGACUUUGAACUUGUAGCAAAUUUUUGGCUGUUUAAGGAAUUAUUGAGAUUGCCUUUAGAGAUAAAGGUGCAGAGUAGGAAGUUCUUUAAGGAUGCUUUUCUGAAAGCACAAGAGCUCUCUGUCCACCAGCAUAGGAAUCAAGCAGAGGAGGCAGAAAAUCAGCAUUGCUGAAGAAAGACCUGCUGGUUAAAAACCUGUGGGAAAAGAGGAACAUGGAAAGGCACUGGAAACGGGGAUAUGUGGCCUGGGAAGAAUACAGGGCGUGCAGAGAUGGGAUCAGGAAAGCCAAGGUGUGGAAUUUGGUGAUGGAUGAGAAAAAUAACAGGAAGUGAUUCUAUAGAUACAUUAGUCAAGAAGAGACAGACCAAGGAGAGUGUAUCCCCCCUCUGAUAAAUGAGAAGUGGAAACUGUCUACAACAGGUAUGGAGUAGACUGAGGUCUUCAACAAGUUUUUUGCCUCAAUCUUCACUGGCAGUCUUCCUACAUCUCUUUAGGCAUAGGACAGGGGAGAAAAGCCAUUCUUUUUCUGUAAGAGGAGAAUAAGUCUGAGAUCACCUCAAGAGGCUGAAUGUGUACAGGUCUAUGGGGCAGAUGACAUGUGUCUCAGAAUCCUGAAGGAAUUGGCUGAUGUGGUUGCCAAGAAGCUCUGCAUCAUAUUUGAAAAGUCUUGACUGUUGGGAAAAGUUCAUGGUGACUGGAAAAAGGGAAUCAUCACUCCCAUUACUAAGAAAUGGAGAAAGAAAGACCUGAGGAACUAUAGGCUGACGAGCCUUGCCACUGUGCCUUGGAAGAUCAUGGAAUGGAUCCUCCUGGAAGCUAAGGCACGUGCAAGACAAGGAGGUGAUAUGAGAUAGCAUGACUUUACCAACGGCAGAUAGUGCCUCACCGAUCUGGUGGCCUUCUACUAUUGAAUGACAGCAUCAGUGGACAAACAAAGAGCAACUGAUGUAAUUUACCUGGACUUCUGCAAGGCUUUUGACAUGGUCUCACACCACUUAUCUCGAAAUUGGACAGAGGUGGAUCUAAAGGUUAGAAUAUUCGAUGGAUAAAAAAAAUCUGUUGGAUGGUCGCAGCUGGAGUGUUGUUGUCAGUGACUCUAUGUUCAGGUGGAGGCCAGUUAUAAGUGAUCUCCCAGAGAUCAGUCUUGGGACUGGUGCUCCUCAACAGUGACACAGAUGAUGGAAUUGAGUGCACCUUCAGCAAGCUUGCUGUUGACACCAAGCUGACUGGUGCAGUUGACACAACAGAAGGAGAGGAUGCCAUCCAGAGGGACCUGGACAAGCUUGAGAAGUGGGCCCACAUGAACCUAAUGAGUUUCUACAAAGCCAAGUGGAAGAAGACACAGCACCAAGAGGAGAAACCCCAAAUUGUCACUGGUCUCUGCAAAUGGAUUUCAACAAUAAGCAGAUACAAUAAGCAGGUCCUCCUUCUCUAUUUUUCCUUUUACAAAAUAGAACUUCAGAAAAUCUCCUUGAAAAAGGAACGGAAACAUGAGGCAGAAACCCAUGGUGUCCUGAGAAGGUUACCUGCUGAGGGGAAAAAAAAAAAAAAAAAGAAGUGGU
Long non-coding RNA from Centrocercus urophasianus (Greater sage-grouse), 2202 nucleotides. RefSeq lists it as uncharacterized. The transcript is spliced from 3 exons. The record is from RefSeq and is a predicted model, not a curated record. NCBI's taxonomy places the organism in Eukaryota, Metazoa, Chordata, Aves, Galliformes, Phasianidae.